RNAcentral lists this long non-coding RNA (1067 nucleotides) under Nicotiana benthamiana. RNAcentral's name for it is "long non-coding RNA (NBEN_LNC025524)". Lineage: Eukaryota; Viridiplantae; Streptophyta; Magnoliopsida; Solanales; Solanaceae. The record is from RNAcentral.
CUUUGGAAAUGGGAUGCUUCCAAGCGGCCACUGGAAAGGAACGAAUUGCUAGAGGUCUGGAAGAAUAUUCCAGUUGUAUAAUAAGGCAACUGGAACUACUGAUGUCUUGUUUUGACUGUGAAAGGAACGAACUGCAUGAGGUCUUGAAGAAUAUUCCAGUUGUAGAACAAGCAGCAAAAAUAGUGUUCAAUAUCAUCUAUGAUAUGCUCUAUAUAUUGUUGUGUUUUACUUUUUCUUGUUCACGUGUUAUAUAUCUGGAAGCAAUAAGUUCAGUUGUUUUGACUGCGUGCCCCGGGGCUUAAAUAGUCUGUGAUGAAACUACUGAUGUUCUGAUGCAACCUCUUUGUCUUGUUUUGUUGCCCCUCUCAGUCAUUCUCUGCUACUGAUGAUCACUCAAAUGAAAAUCUUUCCAAUUAUAAAAACCACCCUUCUGGUGAAAACACAUAAUGACCUUGCUAGUUUCUUGUUCUUAUUACUCUUUCGUUUUAAUUUAGGUAAUGCAACGAGGCUACGAAGAUUUUACUCUUCUGUGGAAGAUGAAUCAGACAUUUUCCUCUUGAGUUGGAAAAACUGUAUCUUGGCAUGGCAGCUCAGACGUGUCUUUGAGAUUUGAAGAAAAAGUUCCAUUUUUGGUGUUUCUUCUGUCUCAUAAGGCUACUGUUGCUUGCAGCCAUUGCAGGUUUUAAAGCUCCUCAGACUGUCUUGAGUUAGAAAAUAGCACAGGUCCUCUAAUCUUUGAUACCUGAACUGUGUUUGCUUAGUCUUCUUAUUUUUUGGAAGUGUUCACCAGUUUUUGUUCCUUGACAGAGUGAGUAGUAACAUGAGACAAUUGUUUCUUUUGACACAAUUAUUUUAUAAUUUCAGGUCAUACUGUCUGAUAUUGGAUAAUUUAGCGGGUGAAAGAUUUAAAAAUGAUGAAAAGUUGCGGAAAUCAUUUGAAGACCAUCAUUUGGAUUAGUUAUAUAAUGACAUUAGCUAUUUAGUCUAAAUUAUAUAUUUUUAUGUUUUCAGUUAAUGUGAUAUUAAUGUUUUUAAUUAGUACUUCCUUUUGUUUGUUAAGAUUAAUA